CAGUAGCCGCGGGAAUACGUAGGUGGCAAGCGUUGUCCGGAAUUAUUGGGCGUAAAGGGCUCGCAGGCGGUUUCUUAAGUCUGAUGUGAAAGCCCCCGGCUCAACCGGGGAGGGUCAUUGGAAACUGGGAAACUUGAGUGCAGAAGAGGAGAGUGGAAUUCCACGUGUAGCGGUGAAAUGCGUAGAGAUGUGGAGGAACACCAGUGGCGAAGGCGACUCUCUGGUCUGUAACUGACGCUGAGGAGCGAAAGCGUGGGGAGCGAACGGGAUUAGAUACCCCCGUAGUCCCUGUCUCUUAUAC
Molecule: ribosomal RNA, 301 nt
Filed under: uncultured bacterium
Lineage: Bacteria
Description: partial 16S ribosomal RNA
Rfam family: Bacterial small subunit ribosomal RNA
Source: RNAcentral